This 520-nucleotide ribosomal RNA is filed under the name bacterium RiMSX118. RNAcentral describes it as "bacterial SSU rRNA". It matches the Rfam family "Bacterial small subunit ribosomal RNA", at positions 33 to 513 of the family's 1533-position model. The record is from RNAcentral.
UUUGANUACCCUUGCGACUGCCUCAUACAUGCAAGUCGAGCGCAGGAAGCACGACCAAUCCCUUCGGGGUGAGGACGUGUGGAAUGAGCGGCGGACGGGUGAGUAACACGUGGGCAACCUACCUGCAAGACUGGGAUAACUCCGGGAAACCGGGGCUAAUACCGGAUAAUCCUUUUGAUCGCAUGAGAGAGAGGUAAAAGGCGGCUUUUAGCUGUCACUUGCAGAUGGGCCCGCGGCGCAUUAGCUAGUUGGUGAGGUAACGGCUCACCAAGGCGACGAUGCGUAGCCGACCUGAGAGGGUGAUCGGCCACACUGGGACUGAGACACGGCCCAGACUCCUACGGGAGGCAGCAGUAGGGAAUCUUCCGCAAUGGACGAAAGUCUGACGGAGCAACGCCGCGUGAACGAAGAAGGUUUUCGGAUCGUAAAGUUCUGUUGUUAGGGAAGAACACGUACCGUUCAAAUAGGGCGGUACCUUGACGGUCCUAACGAGAAAGCCCCGGCUAACUACUUGCCAGCA